This 416-nucleotide long non-coding RNA is filed under the name Androctonus crassicauda. Lineage: Eukaryota; Metazoa; Arthropoda; Arachnida; Scorpiones; Buthidae. The record is from RNAcentral.
CGAAGAAAGGAUCACAGAACAUCAAAGAGAUAUACGACUAGGCAACAUGUCCACAGGCCUAGCUGAAGCAUGCUAUGCCUCCAACUACAAACCACUCUGGGAAGAAGCCAGGAUAAUAAAACACACAGAGAACAGUCGACAGGAGCUAAUCCGGGAAGCCUUGGAGAUUCACAGAAGAGAAAAAACCAAAACCCUCCUUAACGAGAAACACUCUGAAAAGCUACUAGCGCUUUGGAGAUUCGCACUUGAAAACCAAUGAAAGCGCAUCUGACAACCCCACAAAGCGAAUACUGAAAGAAUGGACUUUAAUUUUACUAAUACUACUAUUUUCUCCUUCUACAUUGUUUUCAAUUAUUUUAAUUAUCAAUUACUAUUAAUUAUUUUUAUUAUUUUUAUAUUUUAUAUUUACACGUAAG